This 118-nucleotide ribosomal RNA is filed under the name Pteropus alecto (black flying fox). Lineage: Eukaryota; Metazoa; Chordata; Mammalia; Chiroptera; Pteropodidae. The record is from RNAcentral.
UGCUACAGUCAUGCCACCCUGAACAAGCCCGAUCCCGUCUGAUCUCAGAAGCUAAGCAGGGUCGGGCCUGGUAGUACUUGGAUGGGAGACCACCUAGGAAGACCAGGUGCUGUAGGCG